ACCCAAUACUCUGGGUAUUGGGAUUUGGAAGAAAAAGAGCUGAUGAAAGAGGGGGAAAAGAGAAGAGAAGAGGGUUAAGAUACUAAUGGAGAGUGGCUUAGCUCAGACGAACAAAUCAAAGAGGCAGAGAGACACUAUAUCUCAAGUGAGGACUCGGGCUAGCUUCAGUGCACUAAAUAUUGGCUUUAAAAUAUACAAACAGAGAUAUGGGAUAAUGAAGGGGUAGAAACAAGGAAGAAAAUGAGACUGGUUAAUGCGAGAAGGGAACGCAACGAGAUAAGAACGCUGGAGACAGAAUAAUAUGAAGAUACGACAAGGAAAGAAGAAGAAAAAGGGCGCCAACUCGAACGAACAGCUCAGAUUUCUGAACCGAGGAUUUGAAAAGUUCGAGAUUUUUUGAAAUAAAGAAAAACAGAAUAAACGACCAAUAAAUAAAUGACAGUGAUACAAUGACCUGAAAUACAAAAAAAAAUAUUCACUAUUUACCUUGUUCUGCUAUAUUAUCAACUGGUGAUACGAGACUGAAAUAAAAAUCAACCUUACUAAGAACAAAUAUAUUUAUAAUAUUUCACAACUUACAAUGUAUCCAUGAUACUUAUAAAACAUGUGAGAUAAACAAUAGUGGUGGAGUUGAGAAAAAUAACAAUCCAGAACCCAAAGGGUUACGCCAAGUAAAUUACCACCGCUAUUGCGCAAUAUAAAAAUAUCAAUAACGAAAACCAGGUCAGUGUCCGUAAGCGUAGCAAAAUCCUAUACUAUGGUUAGUAUACUAAUAUUAAUUGAUCCUAGACUAGAUAAGGUAUAGUUAAUACUAGAACAACUAAUGGUUACACAAAAAAAUUUAAUACCUUAUCUAGCAGAGACUUAAAGGGUGACGUACUCACCAAUCGAACUAUUAAGUGUCCGAAACAAUCGAAAUACCAGAUCUAUGUCUAAGUACUAUACCUAAGUAAACAUAGAUGCUGGAAGCUAUAUAAAACUAACAAAAUGAGUUUGGUUAAAGACUUAUCCAGAAAUAUUAUUUAAAACCUAUCGACAAUCUUUAUAUAUGUCUUAAUUCCCCUUUCCCUUAUCAAUUAAUUUAUUUUAUUUGAAUAUUUAUUUAUUAUUUACCAUUACCUAGCUUUAUUUAAAAUCCUACUUCAAAAACCUAUGUAUAUAGUGUAGUAUAGGUACCUGUUAUAUGCAUAUAAACAGUUUACACAAAUUUAUUACUGUAGAGUAAAAACCAAAAUAUUUAUAGGUAUGAAUUGAAAUAAAGAAAAAAAAACUCUUAUCUUUUGCAACUCCUGGGUAUAUUCAUAGGAAGGUCCACUAGAUUUGGGAAAUCUCUGGGCACUAUAACAUCUGUGUGGAGCGGUCUGAAGUUGAGAGGUUCUGUGGAUGUAUUUGGUGAAACGGGUCGGUAAUGGUUUAUGAUGUCCUACUAUUAGUUAUAUAAAGUAUGUUUAUCCAUUUAUUUAUCCAUAAAAAAAAUCCAAUUAAGUAUCCAAAUUAGUUAUAUAAGGUAUAUUUAACCAUAAAAAAAAUCCAGUUAAGUAUCCAUACUAUGGGUGGAAUGGAAAUAUGAUGUAGAAUGUAAAACGAACCUAAAAA
RNAcentral lists this long non-coding RNA (1596 nucleotides) under Diabrotica virgifera virgifera (western corn rootworm). RNAcentral describes it as "uncharacterized LOC126881051". Lineage: Eukaryota; Metazoa; Arthropoda; Insecta; Coleoptera; Chrysomelidae. The record is from RNAcentral.